UACGAAGGGGGCUAGCGUUGCUCGGAAUUACUGGGCGUAAAGGGCGCGUAGGCGGACAGUUUAGUUGGGUGUGAAAGCCCGGGGCUCAACCUCGGAAUUGCCUUCAAUACUGGCUGUCUUGAGUACGGGAGAGGUGUGUGGAACUCCGAGUGUAGAGGUGAAAUUCGUAGAUAUUCGCAAGAACACCAGUGGCGAAGGCGGCUCACUGGCCCGGUACUGACGCUGAGGCACGAAAGCGUGGGGAGCAAACAGG
RNAcentral lists this ribosomal RNA (253 nucleotides) under uncultured bacterium. RNAcentral describes it as "partial 16S ribosomal RNA". It matches the Rfam family "Bacterial small subunit ribosomal RNA", at positions 524 to 776 of the family's 1533-position model. The record is from RNAcentral.